GCCUCCUUGGCUCAGUUGGCUAGAGCGCAGGUCUCAUAUCUUUAAUGUGAGUGGUCCCAGACCAUGUAAUCCUGAGGUCGCAAGUUCGAGCCUUGCAGGGGGCA
This is a transfer RNA of Hypholoma sublateritium FD-334 SS-4, 104 nucleotides long. It matches the Rfam family "tRNA". Rfam says of the family: Transfer RNA (tRNA) molecules are approximately 80 nucleotides in length. The record is from Rfam. Lineage: Eukaryota; Fungi; Basidiomycota; Agaricomycetes; Agaricales; Strophariaceae.